Long non-coding RNA from Chinchilla lanigera (long-tailed chinchilla), 610 nucleotides. RefSeq lists it as uncharacterized. The transcript is spliced from 3 exons. Lineage: Eukaryota; Metazoa; Chordata; Mammalia; Rodentia; Chinchillidae. The record is from RefSeq and is a predicted model, not a curated record.
GGCAGGCAGGCGGGCUGGGAGUUUGCAUGGAAAUCAUGAACUCUUUCUUGCCUUUCUCUUUUGAAAUGCUUUGGGAGGAGAGUUAAGAAUAGAGCAGAAACUGGUGUCUCUCUCUCUUUCUCUUUCUCUUCCUGUCUGUUUAUUUUUUAUUUUUUGCGUGUGAAGAAUGACCAGAAGCAUAAAAGCUAAAUCUUCCAGCAAGUGCAAGACAUUUCCUUGGUAUUUGCAGUAAACCUAACAGGAUGAACUGCUGCCUGUAAAAUCUUAUGCCAAAAUACCCAAAAGGAAGGGGAUGGGACAGCAAAGUGAUAGCACAAAGGCUGCCUCCGAGAGCUUUUGUCUACCUUUAACUCAUUGUGCUGGGAAGCGUUCUGCUAAUGCAUCACACUGAGGACAGAGUGAGGAAACAAGAGAAUUUAGGUGUACAGAGGAACACGAUGAUCUAAUUCCAUCUCCUCGUGGAACUCAGACAGAAAAUGAAGUGCAUAGAAGGGAAAUGGUGGGCUUAAGCUGACUCAGAGCAAGAGGCAAAGUUGGACAUUCCAAAGAUGGCGUAGAUGAACAUGACCAGGAAGAGCAGGAGGCCGAUGUUAAACAAGGCAGGAAGGGA